UACAGAGGUCUCAAGCGUUGUUCGGAUUCAUUGGGCGUAAAGGGUGUGUAGGUGGCGCUGUAAGUCGGGUGUGAAAUCUCGGGGCUUAACUCCGAAACUGCAUUCGAUACUGCGGUGCUUGAGGACUGGAGAGGAGACUGGAAUUCAUGGUGUAGCAGUGAAAUGCGUAGAGAUCAUGAGGAAGACCAGUGGCGAAGGCGGGUCUCUGGACAGUUCCUGACACUGAGACACGAAGGCUAGGGGAGCAAACGGG
RNAcentral lists this ribosomal RNA (253 nucleotides) under uncultured bacterium. Its description in RNAcentral is "partial 16S ribosomal RNA". It matches the Rfam family "Bacterial small subunit ribosomal RNA", at positions 524 to 776 of the family's 1533-position model. The record is from RNAcentral.